GUGGGGAAUUUUGGACAAUGGGCGCAAGCCUGAUCCAGCAAUGCCGCGUGCAGGAAGAAGGCCUUCGGGUUGUAAACUGCUUUUGUACGGAACGAAACGGUCCGGGUUAAUACCCUGGGCUAAUGACGGUACCGUAAGAAUAAGCACCGGCUAACUACGUGCCAGCAGCCGCGGUAAUACGUAGGGUGCAAGCGUUAAUCGGAAUUACUGGGCGUAAAGCGUGCGCAGGCGGUUUUGUAAGACAGGCGUGAAAUCCCCGGGCUCAACCUGGGAAUUGCGCUUGUGACUGCAAGGCUGGAGUGCGGCAGAGGGGGAUGGAAUUCCGCGUGUAGCAGUGAAAUGCGUAGAUAUGCGGAGGAACACCGAUGGCGAAGGCAAUCCCCUGGGCCUGCACUGACGCUCAUGCACGAAAGCGUGGGGAGCAAACAGGAUUAGAUACCCGGGUAGUCC
RNAcentral lists this ribosomal RNA (450 nucleotides) under uncultured bacterium. Its description in RNAcentral is "bacterial SSU rRNA". It matches the Rfam family "Bacterial small subunit ribosomal RNA", at positions 354 to 796 of the family's 1533-position model. The record is from RNAcentral.